This 388-nucleotide ribosomal RNA is filed under the name uncultured bacterium. RNAcentral describes it as "bacterial SSU rRNA". It matches the Rfam family "Bacterial small subunit ribosomal RNA", at positions 28 to 421 of the family's 1533-position model. The record is from RNAcentral.
GACGAACGCUGGCGGCGUGCUUAACACAUGCAAGUCGAACGAUGAACCACUUCGGUGGGGAUUAGUGGCGAACGGGUGAGUAACACGUGGGCAAUCUGCCCUGCACUCUGGGACAAGCCCUGGAAACGGGGUCUAAUACCGGAUACCACCAUCGCAGGCAUCUGUGGUGGUUGAAAGCUCCGGCGGUGCAGGAUGAGCCCGCGGCCUAUCAGCUUGUUGGUGAGGAGAAGCUCACCAAGGCGACGACGGGUAGCCGGCCUGAGAGGGCGACCGGCCACACUGGGACUGAGACACGGCCCAGACUCCUACGGGAGGCAGCAGUGGGGAAUAUUGCACAAUGGGCGAAAGCCUGAUGCAGCGACGCCGCGUGAGGGAUGACGGCCUGGUG